Molecule: ribosomal RNA, 253 nt
Filed under: uncultured bacterium
Lineage: Bacteria
Description: partial 16S ribosomal RNA
Rfam family: Bacterial small subunit ribosomal RNA
Source: RNAcentral
UACGUAGGUGGCGAGCGUUGUCCGGAAUUACUGGGUGUAAAGGGCGUGUAGGCGGGACUGCAAGUCAGAUGUGAAAUUCCCAGGCUUAACCUGGGCGCUGCAUCUGAAACUGCAGUUCUUGAGUGUCGGAGAGGAAAGCGGAAUUCCUAGUGUAGCGGUGAAAUGCGUAGAUAUUAGGAGGAACACCAGUGGCGAAGGCGGCUUUCUGGACGAUAACUGACGCUGAGGCGCGAAAGCGUGGGGAGCAAACAGG